Molecule: long non-coding RNA, 326 nt
Filed under: Fukomys damarensis (Damara mole-rat)
Lineage: Eukaryota; Metazoa; Chordata; Mammalia; Rodentia; Bathyergidae
Description: lncRNA (ENSFDAG00000025808.1)
Source: RNAcentral
CUGGAGGUGGAUUCAGAGAUCAGCUGGUGCAGCCUCAUUUUGACAUCUCUAUGUGUACAAUUGCUGCCACUAACAGAUUAUUAGACUAUGCAGAUGAAGAAAAGAAUGUUUUGUUGGAGGAAGCCUGGGCCCUGAUCCACCGCGGGAAGGAGAACCAUGCCUGCUCCAGACCCAGCUGCCAUCGCUCAAGCACCGGGAGGAAGCCUGGGCCCCGAUCCACCACGGGAAGGAGAACCACACCUGCUCCCGACCCAGACGCCAUCACUCAAGUGCUGCGAAGCUAAACUCUUCUCUGGAGUCUGCACCCAGCAGAACCAAGGUUUGGG